RNAcentral lists this ribosomal RNA (770 nucleotides) under uncultured Actinomycetes bacterium. RNAcentral describes it as "bacterial SSU rRNA". It matches the Rfam family "Bacterial small subunit ribosomal RNA", at positions 33 to 817 of the family's 1533-position model. The record is from RNAcentral. Lineage: Bacteria; Bacillati; Actinomycetota; Actinomycetes.
ACGCUGGCGGCGUGCUUACACAUGCAAGUCGAACGAUGAAGCUGGAGCUUGCUCUAGUGGAUUAGUGGCGAACGGGUGAGUAACACGUGAGCAAUCUGCCCUUGACUCUGGGAUAACUGCGGGAAACUGUAGCUAAUACCGGAUACGACACCUUGGGGCAUCCCGAGGUGUGGAAAGAAUUUCGGUCAAGGAUGAGCUCGCGGCCUAUCAGCUUGUUGGUGAGGUAAAAGCUCACCAAGGCGACGACGGGUAGCCGGCCUGAGAGGGUGACCGGCCACACUGGAACUGAGAUACGGUCCAGACUCCUACGGGAGGCAGCAGUGGGGAAUAUUGCACAAUGGGCGCAAGCCUGAUGCAGCAACGCCGCGUGAGGGAUGAAGGCCUUCGGGUUGUAAACCUCUUUUAUCAGGGAAGAAGCGAAAGUGACGGUACCUGAAGAAAAAGCACCGGCUAACUACGUGCCAGCAGCCGCGGUAAUACGUAGGGUGCAAGCGUUGUCCGGAAUUAUUGGGCGUAAAGAGCUCGUAGGCGGUUUGUCGCGUCUGCUGUGAAAAUCCAAGGCUCAACCUUGGACCUGCAGUGGGUACGGGCAGACUAGAGUGCGGUAGGGGAGAUGGGGAUUCCUGGUGUAGCGGUGGAAUGCGCAGAUAUCAGGAGGAACACCAAUGGCGAAGGCACAUCUCUGGGCCGUAACUGACGCUGAGGAGCGAAAGCGUGGGGAGCGAACAGGAUUAGAUACCUGGUAGUCCACGCCGUAAACGGUGGGUGCU